AGCUUGUUGGUGAGGUAAUGGCUCACCAAGGCGACGACGGGUAGCCGGCCUGAGAGGGUGACCGGCCACACUGGGACUGAGACACGGCCCAGACUCCUACGGGAGGCAGCAGUGGGGAAUAUUGCACAAUGGGCGAAAGCCUGAUGCAGCAACGCCGCGUGAGGGAUGACGGCCUUCGGGUUGUAAACCUCUUUUAGUAGGGAAGAAGCGAAAGUGACGGUACCUGCAGAAAAAGCACCGGCUAACUACGUGCCAGCAGCCGCGGUAAUACGUAGGGUGCAAGCGUUGUCCGGAAUUAUUGGGCGUAAAGAGCUCGUAGGCGGUUUGUCGCGUCUGCUGUGAAAUCCCGAGGCUCAACCUCGGGCUUGCAGUGGGUACGGGCAGACUAGAGUGCGGUAGGGGAGAUUGGAAUUCCUGGUGUAGCGGUGGAAUGCGCAGAUAUCAGGAGGAACACCGAUGGCGAAGGCAGAUCUCUGGGCCGUAACUGACGCUGAGGAGCGAAAGCAUGGGGAGCGAACAGGAUUAGAUACCCUGGUAGUCCAUGCCGUAAACGUUGGGCGCUAGAUGUAGGGACCUUUCCACGGUUUCUGUGUCGUAGCUAACGCAUUAAGCGCCCCGCCUGGGGAGUACGGCCGCAAGGCUAAAACUCAAAGGAAUUGACGGGGGCCCGCACAAGCGGCGGAGCAUGCGGAUUAAUUCGAUGCAACGCGAAGAACCUUACCAAGGCUUGACAUACACCGGAAACGGCCAGAGAUGGUCGCCCCCUUGUGGUCGGUGUACAGGUGGUGCAUGGUUGUCGUCAGCUCGUGUCGUGAGAUGUUGGGUUAAGUCCCGCAACGAGCGCAACCCUCGUUCUAUGUUGCCAGCGCGUUAUGGCGGGGACUCAUAGGAGACUGCCGGGGUCAACUCGGAGGAAGGUGGGGAUGACGUCAAAUCAUCAUGCCCCUUAUGUCUUGGGCUUCACGCAUGCUACAAUGGCCGGUACAAAGGGCUACGAUACCGUAAGGUGGAGCGAAUCCCAAAAAGCCGGUCUCAGUUCGGAUUGAGGUCUGCAACUCGACCUCAUGAAGUCGGAGUCGCUAGUAAUCGCAGAUCAGCAACGCUGCGGUGAAUACGUUCCCGGGCCUUGUACACACCGCCCGUCAAGUCAUGAAAGUCGGUAACACCCGAAGCCGGUGGCCUAACCCUUGUGGGAGGAGCCGUCGAAGGUGGGAUCGGUGAUUAGGACUAAGUCGUAACAAGGUA
This 1245-nucleotide ribosomal RNA is filed under the name uncultured bacterium. RNAcentral's name for it is "bacterial SSU rRNA". It matches the Rfam family "Bacterial small subunit ribosomal RNA", at positions 243 to 1498 of the family's 1533-position model. The record is from RNAcentral.